This 253-nucleotide ribosomal RNA is filed under the name uncultured bacterium. RNAcentral describes it as "partial 16S ribosomal RNA". It matches the Rfam family "Bacterial small subunit ribosomal RNA", at positions 524 to 776 of the family's 1533-position model. The record is from RNAcentral.
GACGGAGGGUGCUAGCGUUGUUCGGAAUGACUGGGCGUAAAGGGCGCGUAGGCGGCUCGUGAAGUCGGGUGUGAAAGCCCGGGGCUCAACCCCGGAACGGCAUCCGAUACUGGCGGGCUUGAGACCGGGAGAGGAGGGUGGAAUACCCAGUGUAGAGGUGAAAUUCGUAGAUAUUGGGUGGAACACCGGUGGCGAAAGCGGCGUGCUGGACCUUUUCUGACGCUGAGGCGCGAAAGCCAGGGGAGCAAACGGG